This 775-nucleotide ribosomal RNA is filed under the name uncultured Neocallimastigales. RNAcentral describes it as "partial large subunit ribosomal RNA". It matches the Rfam family "Eukaryotic large subunit ribosomal RNA", at positions 23 to 635 of the family's 3401-position model. Lineage: Eukaryota; Fungi; Neocallimastigomycota; Neocallimastigomycetes; Neocallimastigales. The record is from RNAcentral.
AUAGAGACUCAGAGCUGCAUAUCAAUAAGCGGAGGAAAAGAAACUAACUAAGGAUUCCCUUAGUAACGGCGAGUGAAGCGGGAAGAGCUCAAAUUCGAAAUCUUCAAGGUUCUACCUUGACGAAUUGUAGUUUAAAGAAGUGUUUUCUGUUGGAGUUUUGGUAAAAGUUCUUUGGAAUAGGACAUCAUAGAGGGUGAGAAUCCCGUAUUUGACCAUUUCUUCCAGCUGUGUGAUACACUUUCAAAGAGUCGGAUUGUUUGGGAAUGCAGUCCAAAAUGGGUGGUAAAUUUCAUCUAAAGCUAAAUAUUGGCGAGAGACCGAUAGCGAACAAGUACCGUGAGGGAAAGAUGAAAAGAACUUUGAAAAGAGAGUUAAACAGUACGUGAAAUUGUCAAAAGGGAAGCGUUUGACACCAGUGUUGUUUUCUCGAAAAUCAAUUAAAAAUGACCGGAUUUUGUGUUGUAUUGACUUUAUCAGCUUUCUGCACUUUUUUCUCGUCUUUUUUAAUGCACUUUUCGUUUAACAAGUCAACAUCAAUUUCUUUUGUUGUAAAAGAGUCAUUGGAAGGUGGCUUUCACUUCGGUGAAAGUGUUUAUAGCCUUUGGCUUCUGCAAUCGGAGAGAUUGAGGUCUGCAGCGUAGAUCCUUCGGGGUUAGAUACAUUUGUGCUAAGUUAUAGUUUUUCAUAGACAACAUGUUGACUAUGAUUAAUCAUGUAGCUUACUCGCUUAUGCUAUUUUACCUACGCUUAGGAUGUUGAUAUGCAUGACUGAUAU